This 683-nucleotide ribosomal RNA is filed under the name uncultured bacterium. RNAcentral's name for it is "bacterial SSU rRNA". It matches the Rfam family "Bacterial small subunit ribosomal RNA", at positions 790 to 1483 of the family's 1533-position model. The record is from RNAcentral.
GUAGUCCGCGCAGUAAACGAUGGACACUCGGCCUGUGGCCUUUACGGUUGCGGGUCUCUAGCGAAAGCGUUAAGUGUCCCACCUGGGGAGUACGCCGGCAACGGUGAAACUCAAAGGAAUUGACGGGGGCCCGCACAAGCGGAGGAACAUGUGGUUUAAUUCGAUGAUACGCGAGGAACCUUACCCGGGCUCAAACGCGAGGCGCGACAUCCUGAAAGGGGUGGUUCUUCGGACGCCUUGCGAGGUGCUGCAUGGUUGUCGUCAGCUCGUGCCGUGAGGUGUCGGCUUAAGUGCCAUAACGAGCGCAACCCCCAUCUUCAGUUGCCCCCGGGUGGUGCCGGGCACUCUGGAGAGACUGCCGGCGCAAGCUGUGAGGAAGGCGGGGAUGACGUCAAAUCAGCACGGCCCUUACGUCCGGGGCGACACACGUGUUACAAUGGCGGGGUGACAGCGGGAAGCCAGGCGGCGACGUCGAGCUGAUCCCGAAAACCCGUCUCAGUUCGGAUCGGAGUCUGCAACCCGACUCCGUGAAGCUGGAUUCGCUAGUAAUCGCGCAUCAGCCAUGGCGCGGUGAAUACGUUCCCGGGCCUUGUACACACCGCCCGUCAAGCCAUGGAAGCCUGGAGUGCCUGAAGUCCGUAGCCGUAAGGCGCGGCCUAGGGCGAUACCGGUGAUUGGGGCUA